This 71-nucleotide transfer RNA is filed under the name Loxodonta africana (African savanna elephant). It matches the Rfam family "tRNA". From Rfam's summary of the family: Transfer RNA (tRNA) molecules are approximately 80 nucleotides in length. Their secondary structure includes four short double-helical elements and three loops (D, anti-codon, and T loops). Lineage: Eukaryota; Metazoa; Chordata; Mammalia; Proboscidea; Elephantidae. The record is from Rfam by way of RNAcentral.
AUAUUGGUGGUUCAGUGGUAGAAUUAUUGCCUUCCAUGUGGGAGAGCUGAGUUUGAUUCCCAGUCAAUGUA